This 336-nucleotide unclassified non-coding RNA is filed under the name soil metagenome. RNAcentral's name for it is "partial contains 5.8S ribosomal RNA, internal transcribed spacer 2, and large subunit ribosomal RNA". The stretch from base 1 to 121 matches the Rfam family "5.8S ribosomal RNA", at positions 35 to 154 of the family's 154-position model. The record is from RNAcentral.
GAUGAAGAACGCAGCGAAAUGCGAUAAGUAAUGCGAAUUGCAGAAUUUCCGUGAGUCAUCGAAUCUUUGAACGCACAUUGCGCCCACUGGUAUUCUGGCGGGCAUGCCUGUUCGAGCGUCAUUUCAACCAUCAAGCCCCCGGCUUGUGUUGGGGACCUGCGGCUGCCGCAGGCCCUGAAAACCAGUGGCGGGCUCGCUAGUCACUCCGAGCGUAGUAAUACAUCUCGCUCAGGGCGUGCUGCGGGUUCCGGCCGUUAAAAAGCCUUAUUUACCCAAGGUUGACCUCGGAUCAGGUAGGAAGACCCGCUGAACUUAAGCAUAUCAAUAAGCGGAGGA